AACGAACGCUGGCGGCAUGCCUAACACAUGCAAGUCGAACGAGACCUUCGGGUCUAGUGGCGCACGGGUGCGUAACGCGUGGGAACCUGCCCUUAGGUUCGGAAUAACUCCCCGAAAGGGGUGCUAAUACCGGAUAAUGUCUUCGGACCAAAGAUUUAUCGCCUUUGGAUGGGCCCGCGUUGGAUUAGCUAGUUGGUAGGGUAAAAGCCUACCAAGGCGACGAUCCAUAGCUGGUCUGAGAGGAUGAUCAGCCACACUGGGACUGAGACACGGCCCAGACUCCUACGGGAGGCAGCAGUGGGGAAUAUUGGACAAUGGGCGAAAGCCUGAUCCAGCAAUGCCGCGUGAGUGAUGAAGGCCUUAGGGUUGUAAAGCUCUUUUACCCGGGAUGAUAAUGACAGUACCGGGAGAAUAAGCUCCGGCUAACGCC
Molecule: ribosomal RNA, 430 nt
Filed under: uncultured bacterium
Lineage: Bacteria
Description: partial 16S ribosomal RNA
Rfam family: Bacterial small subunit ribosomal RNA
Source: RNAcentral